CCUUCUUUCCGGACACUAAUUCUACUCUUAACUGAGCGGAAUUGGGAGACGGAUCGCUUACUUUGAAAAAAUCAGAGUGUUUCAAGCAGGCAGCUCGCUCUUGCAUGGAUUAGCAUGGGAUAAUGAAAUAGGACUCUGGUGCUAUUUUGUUGGUCUCGAACACCGGAGUAAUGAUUAACAGGGACAGUCAGGGGCACUCGGAUUCCGUCGAGAGAGGUGAAAUUCUCAGACCAAUGGAAGACGAACCACUGCGAAAGGAUUUGCCAGGGAUGUUUUCACUGAUCAAUAACGAAAGUUAGGGGAUCGAAGACGAUCAGAUACCGUCGUAGCCUUAACCAUAAACCAUGCCGACUAGGGAUUGCAGGGUGUUCUAUUCGACCCCUUCAGCACCUUACGAGAAACUAAAGUCUUUGGGUUCCGGUGGGAGUAUGGUCGCAAGGCUGAAACUUAAAGGAAUUGACGGAAGGGCAC
This 471-nucleotide ribosomal RNA is filed under the name uncultured eukaryote. RNAcentral's name for it is "SSU rRNA". It matches the Rfam family "Eukaryotic small subunit ribosomal RNA", at positions 695 to 1167 of the family's 1831-position model. The record is from RNAcentral.